CCUACGGGAGGCAGCAGUGGGGAAUCUUGCGCAAUGGGCGAAAGCCUGACGCAGCAACGCCGCGUGCGGGAAGAAGGCUUUCGGGCUGUAAACCGCUUUCAGCAGGAACGAAAAUGACGGUACCUGCAGAAGAAGGAGCGGCCAACUAUGUGCCAGCAGCCGCGGUGAUACAUAGGCUUCAAGCGUUGUCCGGAUUUAUUGGGCGUAAAGAGUUCGUAGGCGGUCAAGUAAGUCGGGUGUGAAAAUUCUGGGCUCAACCCAGAGACGCCACCCGAUACUGCUUAACUUGAGUUCGAUAGGGGAGUGGGGAAUUCCUAGUGUAGCGGUGAAAUGCGCAGAUAUUAGGAGGAACACCGGUGGCGAAGGCGCCACUCUGGAUCGAUACUGACGCUGAGGAACGAAAGCAUGGGUAGCAAACAGGAUUAGAUACCCUGGUAGUCCAUGCCGUAAACGGUGGGCACUAGGUGUGGGUUUCCAUUAACGAAAUCCGCGCCGUCGCUAACGCAUUAAGUGCCCCGCCGUCGGGAGGUACGGUCGCGAACGAACUAAAACUUAAAUAGAAGUAGACGGCGUGAGACGUGACCGAACGGACGACGACGAGGGAGUAGG
Molecule: ribosomal RNA, 609 nt
Filed under: uncultured bacterium
Lineage: Bacteria
Description: bacterial SSU rRNA
Rfam family: Bacterial small subunit ribosomal RNA (bases 1-520)
Source: RNAcentral